AGUGAACGCUGGCGGCAGGCCUAACACAUGCAAGUCGAACGGCAGCACAGUAAGAGCUUGCUCUUACGGGUGGCGAGUGGCGGACGGGUGAGGAAUACAUCGGAAUCUACUUUUUCGUGGGGGAUAACGUAGGGAAACUUACGCUAAUACCGCAUACGACCUACGGGUGAAAGCAGGGGAUCUUCGGACCUUGCGCGAUUGAAUGAGCCGAUGUCGGAUUAGCUAGUUGGCGGGGUAAAGGCCCACCAAGGCGACGAUCCGUAGCUGGUCUGAGAGGAUGAUCAGCCACACUGGAACUGAGACACGGUCCAGACUCCUACGGGAGGCAGCAGUGGGGAAUCUUGGACAAAGGGCGCAAGCCUGAUCCAGCCAUACCGCGUGAGUGAAGAAGGCCUUCGGGUUGUAAAGCCCUUUUGUUGGGAAAGAAAAGCAGCAGGUUAAUACCCCGCUGUUCUGACGGUACCCAAAGAAUAAGCACCGGCUAACUUCGUG
RNAcentral lists this ribosomal RNA (492 nucleotides) under uncultured bacterium. Its description in RNAcentral is "partial 16S ribosomal RNA". It matches the Rfam family "Bacterial small subunit ribosomal RNA", at positions 29 to 507 of the family's 1533-position model. The record is from RNAcentral.